CCUACGGGAGGCAGCAGUGGGGAAUAUUGCACAAUGGGGGAAACCCUGAUGCAGCGACGCCGCGUGAGUGAAGAAGUAUCUCGGUACGUAAAGCCCUAUCAGCAGGGAAGAAAAUGACGGUCCCUGACUAAGAAGCCCCUGCUAACUACGUGCCAGCAGCCGCGGUAAUACGUAGGGGCCAAGCGUUAUCCGGAUUUACUGGGUGUAAAGGGAGCGUAGACGGCAGUACAAGUCUGGAGUGAAAUCCCGGGUCUUAACCCCGGAACUGCUUUGGAAACUGUGCGGCUGGAGUGCAGGAGGGGUAAGCGGAAGUCCUAGUGUAGCGGUGAAAUGCGUAGAUAUUAGGAGGAACACCGGUGGCGAAGGCGGCUUACUGGACUGUAACUGACGUUGAGGCUCGAAAGCGUGGGGAGCGAACAGGAUUAGAUACCCCUGUAGUC
This 440-nucleotide ribosomal RNA is filed under the name uncultured bacterium. RNAcentral's name for it is "partial 16S ribosomal RNA". It matches the Rfam family "Bacterial small subunit ribosomal RNA", at positions 338 to 795 of the family's 1533-position model. The record is from RNAcentral.